UUAACGACCAUCUCUACUGUAGGUAGUUAGCUAACUCAUAUAUUAACAUCGAACUAAAUGGGAGCAAGUUAACUAAAUGUAAUUCUACAGAAACUAAUUUGAUUUGACCAAACACUCAUGAUGCUGCGUUUUCAUGCAUACUUGGUAAGCAAGACUGGAGACACCGUCUAAUAGUUGACUAUAAGCAACACUACACAGUCAGUAUAGCUUGUUUGCUAACCACCCAGCUAGCAACUCAGCUAGUGAGGGUAAGAAUAUGCAAAUAACUUCCUGGACAAAUAAAUACAUGGAUUUACACUCGCUGAUUCUAUGCACAAGGAGAGGGGACAUGCAAGUUCUAGAUUGAGGCCUCCAGCAUGCAGAUCCUUGGUUGUGAACCUUUAUGGCGUCCAGGAAAAUGGGCUCACCGCACCAGGGAUCUGCGUUCAAAAAAUAAAAAACCUUGAAAGAGUCAGAGGUCGGAGGUUACGGGAGCGAGGUGUGAUGACCCCACCCCAGCAGGAACUGUUCUCUAUAGAAAUGCAAUUCUUUCCACAGUGUGGCCCAAUCACUGGUGGGUUCGCACUGGGUUCCAGGUCUUCCCACUGCUGAACAGCGAUUGGAGAAAAAAAGUAAUCUCAGAGGGUUUGAAAAGAUUUGGGCUCCCUUUGUCAACAUCAAACUUAAAAUUUAGGUUUGGGAAGAGGGAUUUGUGGAAUGACAUAUUAUGCCAAAUAUUUAGCCAAGUUGCUAUAUAUAUAUAUACUUCCAAGGCAAACUGCAAGUAAAGUACAUGUGUCACUGUAUGUUAAUACUGAGCAAUAUUCCUUUGCAAUUUAUCAAUAUCUCCAAAGCAUGUUCAGUGUAUCAUCAGUGACAUUUAUGAGUCAGACAAGUGAGUUGAGAGGACUGUAUUGUACAGAAAAUAGCCUGAUGAAAACUACAGUUGAACACGGUUCUUAGGCCAUACACAAAUUGACUUGAGGACAUUGUCAUGUUUAUUACCAAUGUUACAAUUUGAGAGAAGAAGCAAUAAAUAAAUGAGAGCACAGCA
Long non-coding RNA from Esox lucius (northern pike), 1033 nucleotides. RefSeq lists it as uncharacterized. NCBI's taxonomy places the organism in Eukaryota, Metazoa, Chordata, Actinopteri, Esociformes, Esocidae. The record is from RefSeq and is a predicted model, not a curated record. The transcript is spliced from 2 exons.